This 580-nucleotide ribosomal RNA is filed under the name TM7 phylum sp. oral clone 13-8. RNAcentral's name for it is "bacterial SSU rRNA". It matches the Rfam family "Bacterial small subunit ribosomal RNA", at positions 8 to 521 of the family's 1533-position model. The record is from RNAcentral. Lineage: Bacteria; Candidatus Saccharimonadota.
AGAGUUUGAUCCUGGCUCAGGAUGAAUGCUGGCGGCGUGCCUAACACAUGCAAGUCGAGCGGCAGCGGGUUCUGCACUAUCAACUUGAAGCCUGGACGCGGGGAUUUCCAAAGGAAAUCAGCCGCAUCAUUUCGAAAGGAGUGAGUGUCUAGGGUGAUCUCGAAUUGAUGGUGCAGAAUGUCGGCGAGCGGCGAACGGCUGAGUAACGCGUAGGAAUUUGCCCCAAAGUGAGGGAUAACUGCCCGAAAGGGUAGCUAAUACCGCAUAUGGUCUUCGGAUUAAAGGAUUUAUCCGCUUUGGGAGAAGCCUGCGUUGGAUUAGGUUGUUGGUAGGGUAAUGGCCCACCAAGCCGACGAUCCAUAGCUGGUCUGAGAGGAUGAUCAGCCAGACUGGAACUGAGACACGGUCCAGACUCCUACGGGAGGCAGCAGUGAGGAAUCUUCCACAAUGGGCGAAAGCCUGAUGGAGCAACGCCGCGUGAAGGAUGAAGGCCUUCGGGUUGUAAACUUCUUUUAUGAGUGAAGAAUAUGACGGUAACUCAUGAAUAAGCACCGGCUAACUACGUGCCAGCAGCCGCGGU